CAGAACUGUACUUUCAGGGAUCAUUUCUGUACCUCAUUACUAGAGAAGUUCCUCUUAACGUGUGGAGCACCAGAAAUCACAAGGAGGAGAGGCAGUGUUCUUUCCGGAGUGUGAAGCUGGCACUUCGUGUUUUGCUGUAACUGCUGUUUGCCAUUCAUUCAUCAUUCUUCUUUUCUUCCAGGAGAGUGAGAGGGAGAGGAUGCUAAAAAAAAGUU
RNAcentral lists this small nucleolar RNA (215 nucleotides) under Carlito syrichta (Philippine tarsier). RNAcentral's name for it is "Small nucleolar RNA U3 (ENSTSYG00000019689.2)". It matches the Rfam family "Small nucleolar RNA U3". Rfam says of the family: Small nucleolar RNAs (snoRNAs) are involved in the processing and modification of rRNA in the nucleolus. There are two main classes of snoRNAs: the box C/D class, and the box H/ACA class. U3 snoRNA is a member of the box C/D class. The record is from Rfam by way of RNAcentral. Lineage: Eukaryota; Metazoa; Chordata; Mammalia; Primates; Tarsiidae.